Molecule: ribosomal RNA, 901 nt
Filed under: uncultured bacterium
Lineage: Bacteria
Description: bacterial SSU rRNA
Rfam family: Bacterial small subunit ribosomal RNA
Source: RNAcentral
CAUGCAGUCGUACGGGGUUGUUCCUUCGGGGACAGCUCAGUGGCGGACGGGUGCGUAACACGUGGGCGACCUGCCGAGGCGCGGGGGACAACCCAGGGAAACUUGGGCUAAUACCGCAUGCGCUCACCGAGCUACAUGGCUGGGGGAGGAAACCCGCUCAUAAGGCGGGGUGCUUCGAGGGGCCCGCGGCGUAUCAGGUAGUUGGUGAGGUAACGGCUCACCAAGCCGACGACGCGUAGCUGGUCUGAGAGGACGACCGGCCACAUUGGGACUGAGAUACGGCCCAGACUCCUACGGGAGGCAGCAGUGGGGAAUCUUGCGCAAUGGACGAAAGUCUGACGCAGCGACGCCGCGUGCGGGAGGAAGCCUUUCGGGGUGUAAACCGCUGUCACCGGGGAAGAACGUUGGGGGGAGGAAAUGCCCUUCAAGUGACGGUACUCGGGGAGGAAGCACCGGCUAACUCUGUGCCAGCAGCCGCGGUAAUACAGAGGGUGCGAGCGUUGUUCGGAAUUACUGGGCGUAAAGCGCGCGCAGGCGGUCCUUUAAGUCUCAUCGUUCAAGCCCGGAGCUCAACUCCGGUCCGCGAGGGAUACUGAGGGACUAGGGACAUGUAGGGGCAAGCGGAAUUCCGGGUGUAGCGGUGGAAUGCGUAGAGAUCCGGAAGAACACCGGAGGCGAAGGCGGCUUGCUGGGCAUGAUCCGACGCUGAGGCGCGAAAGCGUGGGGAGCAAACAGGAUUAGAUACCCAGGUAGUCCACGCCGUAAACGAUGGGCACUAGGUGCGGGGGGGAUCGGCCCUCUCCGUGCCGCAGCUAACGCGCUAAGUGCCCCGCCUGGGGAGUACGGCCGCAAGGCUGAAACUCAAAGGAAUUGACGGGGGCCCGCACAAGCGGUGGAGCAU